RNAcentral lists this transfer RNA (83 nucleotides) under Lentinula lateritia. Its description in RNAcentral is "tRNA-Asn". It matches the Rfam family "tRNA". From Rfam's summary of the family: Transfer RNA (tRNA) molecules are approximately 80 nucleotides in length. The record is from RNAcentral. Lineage: Eukaryota; Fungi; Basidiomycota; Agaricomycetes; Agaricales; Omphalotaceae.
UGCCCCAUGGCUGAGUUGGUUACAGCGUCCGACUGUUAUAGACCACCAUCGGAAGGUCGAGAGUUCGAGCCUCUCUGGGGCAG